GAUGAACGCUGGCGGCGUGCUUAACACAUGCAAGUCGAACGGGAAACAUUUAUUGAAGCUUCGGCAGAUUUAGCUUGUUUCUAGUGGCGGACGGGUGAGUAACGCGUGGGUAACCUGCCUUAUACUGGGGGAUAACAGCCAGAAAUGACUGCUAAUACCGCAUAAGCGCACAGAACCGCAUGGUUCGGUGUGAAAAACUCCGGUGGUAUAAGAUGGACCCGCGUUGGAUUAGCUAGUUGGCAGGGCAGCGGCCUACCAAGGCGACGAUCCAUAGCCGGCCUGAGAGGGUGAACGGCCACAUUGGGACUGAGACACGGCCCAGACUCCUACGGGAGGCAGCAGUGGGGAAUAUUGCACAAUGGGGGAAACCCUGAUGCAGCGACGCCGCGUGAAGGAAGAAGUAUCUCGGUAUGUAAACUUCUAUCAGCAGGGAAGAUAAUGACGGUAC
This 448-nucleotide ribosomal RNA is filed under the name uncultured bacterium. RNAcentral describes it as "bacterial SSU rRNA". It matches the Rfam family "Bacterial small subunit ribosomal RNA", at positions 28 to 478 of the family's 1533-position model. The record is from RNAcentral.